UACGUAGGGGGCAAGCGUUGUCCGGAUUUAUUGGGCGUAAAGAGCGUGUAGGCGGCCUUACAGGUCAGCUGUGAAAACUCGAGGCUCAACCUCGAGACGUCGGUUGAAACCGUAAGGCUAGAGUCCGGAAGAGGAGAGUGGAAUUCCCGGUGUAGCGGUGAAAUGCGCAGAUAUCGGGAAGAACACCCGUGGCGAAGGCGGCUCGCUGGGCCAUUCCUGACGCUGAGACG
RNAcentral lists this ribosomal RNA (230 nucleotides) under uncultured bacterium. RNAcentral's name for it is "partial 16S ribosomal RNA". It matches the Rfam family "Bacterial small subunit ribosomal RNA", at positions 524 to 753 of the family's 1533-position model. The record is from RNAcentral.